UGACCGCACGAUCCGGUAGCAGGUCUGAGAGGAUGAUCAGCCACACUGGGACUGAGACACGGCCCAGACUCCUACGGGAGGCAGCAGUGGGGAAUAUUGGACAAUGGGGGGAACCCUGAUCCAGCAAUGCCGCGUGUGUGAAGAAGGCCUGAGGGUUGUAAAGCACUUUCGGCGGGGAGGAGGAUGAGUUGGUUAAGAGCUGACUUAUUGGACGUUACCCCCAUAAGAAGCACCGGCUAACUCCGUGCCAAGGCCGCGGUAAUACGGAGGGUGCGAGCGUUAAUCUGAAUUACUGGGAAAAAGGGUGCGUAGGUGGUUAUGUAAUUUAUCUGUGAAAUCCCUGGGCUUAACCUUGGUGUGUCAGAUAAAACUGUGUUCUAGAGUAUGAGAGAGGAUAGUGUAAUUUCCGGUGUAGCGGUGAAAUGCAUAGAGAUCGGAAAGAAAACCGGUGGCGAAGGCUGCUACCUGG
This 469-nucleotide ribosomal RNA is filed under the name uncultured Legionella sp. RNAcentral's name for it is "bacterial SSU rRNA". It matches the Rfam family "Bacterial small subunit ribosomal RNA", at positions 269 to 732 of the family's 1533-position model. The record is from RNAcentral. Lineage: Bacteria; Pseudomonadati; Pseudomonadota; Gammaproteobacteria; Legionellales; Legionellaceae.